UGGGGAAUCUUGCACAAUGGGCGAAAGCCUGAUGCAGCGACGCCGCGUGAGCGAUGAAGGCCUUCGGGUUGUAAAGCUCUGUGGGGAGGGACGAAUAUGUACUGGCUAAUAUCCAGUGCGAUGACGGUACCUCCUUAGCAAGCACCGGCUAACUCUGUGCCAGCAGCCGCGGUAAGACAGAGGGUGCAAACGUUGUUCGGAAUCACUGGGCGUAAAGCGCAUGUAGGCGGCUACGUAAGUCGGACGUGAAAUCCCACGGCUCAACCGUGGAAGUGCGCUCGAAACUGUGUAGCUUGAGUUCUGGAGAGGAAGACGGAAUACUUGGUGUAGAGGUGAAAUUCGUAGAUAUCAGGUAGAACACCAGUGGCGAAGGCGGUCUUCUGGACAGAUACUGACGCUG
Molecule: ribosomal RNA, 400 nt
Filed under: uncultured bacterium
Lineage: Bacteria
Description: bacterial SSU rRNA
Rfam family: Bacterial small subunit ribosomal RNA
Source: RNAcentral